RNAcentral lists this ribosomal RNA (253 nucleotides) under uncultured bacterium. RNAcentral describes it as "partial 16S ribosomal RNA". It matches the Rfam family "Bacterial small subunit ribosomal RNA", at positions 524 to 776 of the family's 1533-position model. The record is from RNAcentral.
GACGUAGGAUGCGAGCGUUAUUCGGAUUUAUUGGGCGUAAAGCGUGCGUAGGCGGCUGUUUAAGUCUGGUGUUAAAGCUAGGGGCUCAACCCCUGUGGUGCAUCGGAUACUGGGCAGCUUGAGUGCGGUAGGGGAAGGUGGAAUUCCGAGUGUAGCGGUGAAAUGCGUAGAUAUUCGGAAGAACACCGGUGGCGAAGGCGACCUUCUGGGCCGCAACUGACGCUGAGGCACGAAAGCCUGGGGAGCGAACGGG